CAUAGUAGUUGUCGGGCUGUUGAUGCCAUCUGCCUUACUUCCCCUUCCAUUACCCCUGUCUUUUGCGUACCUACCUGUUUCCUCGGCAGGCUUCGCCUGCCGAUUGGACACUCUUAUAACCAUUUUGUAGCUUGCAAUCAGCGUCUGAAAAAUUUAAUAGUUA
This 163-nucleotide unclassified non-coding RNA is filed under the name soil metagenome. RNAcentral describes it as "partial internal transcribed spacer 1". The record is from RNAcentral.